This 422-nucleotide ribosomal RNA is filed under the name uncultured bacterium. RNAcentral describes it as "bacterial SSU rRNA". It matches the Rfam family "Bacterial small subunit ribosomal RNA", at positions 355 to 774 of the family's 1533-position model. The record is from RNAcentral.
UGAGGAAUAUUGGACAAUGGGUGGAAGCCUGAUCCAGCCAUCCCGCGUGAAGGAUGACGGUCCUAUGGAUUGUAAACUUCUUUUGUACAGGGAUAAACCUGCCCUCGUGAGGGCAGCUGAAGGUACUGUACGCAUAAGCACCGGCUAACUCCGUGCCAGCAGCCGCGGUAAUACGGAGGGUGCGAGCGUUAUCCGGAUUUAUUGGGUUUAAAGGGUCCGUAGGCGGGCCUGUAAGUCAGUGGUGAAAUCUCAUAGCUUAACUAUGAAACUGCCAUUGAUACUGCAGGCCUUGAGUAAAUUUGAAGUGGCUGGAAUAAGUAGUGUAGCGGUGAAAUGCAUAGAUAUUACUUAGAACACCGAUUGCGAAGGCAGGUCACUAAGAUUUAACUGACGCUGAUGGACGAAAGCGUGGGGAGCGAACA